RNAcentral lists this unclassified non-coding RNA (963 nucleotides) under Hevea brasiliensis (rubber tree). Lineage: Eukaryota; Viridiplantae; Streptophyta; Magnoliopsida; Malpighiales; Euphorbiaceae. The record is from RNAcentral.
CAUUCAUACGCCAACAUCAUCUAAAUCUAUUGCCUAUUUAGUCUUUGGUCUCUUAAUAUUCGGAUGAAAGCAAAGCGAAGAUAACAUUUCAUUACACAUGAAAAACUUGAGAGAACAACCAUAUUUGGUUUUAAUUACAGUAAAGUAGUAAUAAUAAUAAUAGUCAGAUCUAAGUAUGGGGGGUUCAAUGAGAGUUGAAGCCAGGAUUAAACUUGUAGUAAUUGAUUAUCUAGGCUUCUUUCUACCAAGCAAUUAAAGCCAAAAACGGUAAACUAGUAUUGCUCAGUUUUCACUGCAAAUUGACCACCCAAUCCCAGCCAUGGCGCCUUGUGUUCUUCCUUUUUAGGAGCUGCUGCUUCCUCUCUAUGGUAAGGUACUUUUGCAGUUAGCCUAUCUUUUCUCUUCUCCAAAAACCUUGUUAAUGAAGCUCUUCUCGCAAUAGGUAAAUCAGAAACAAUUGGCUGGUUAGGCAUUUGAUUUUCCUGGAUGGAAGUUUUUCCGAAACUCGGAACCACCAAAUCGGCAGCAGAUUCCAAUGGUUUAGCAGGAUUGUUUCCCUUGCUAGUACUAGCCAUAAGCAUGAUUUCCUUAGCUUUAUCAGCCGGAAAAUCAUUAAACACAAUAACUUGACCUCCAUAGAAUAUCGUCAUCUGUGCCUUUUCCGGUUCCGACUCAGCCUUCAUUCCACCUUGAGGGAACAGAUUCAUCGAUUUCUGAACCAACUCACCAGAUUUCUCAAUCAUCGGCAACAAAUCCAUAGUAGUAGAACCAGCUGAAUCGAAAUUGCGAUGCAUAUCAAGGCUGAGAUCUCCCAAAGAACCUUUCUUCUCUUUCAAGUAUUGACUCAACAAGUUACAUGUAUGAGAGAAAUGCGAUUUCUGACCGGCAAAUCUCCCGGAAUCCACAAUCUCCGAUGAAGCCAUUUGUAAUAGUAGUAUUUUUUGAAUGAAAAAUGAAAAGUAA